GACUUAAAAGCAACUGUUAUUUAUUUUUCUCCUCAGAUUAGGAUAAAAAACAUCAGUUCCUCUCUUUUUUUUCUCCUUAAUUUAAUUAUCAAAAGCAUCAGCUCUAAAUGUGCUAGAUGAUACAAUAACGGGCACCAGAAAUCAGGGAUGAGAUAUCAACAGCCUGCAAUUCUCUGAGCUGGAAUCCUGCAUGCAGUUACAAAUUCAUGUCCACCAUGCCACAUCAAGAACUUUUGGAGCUAGUGUUGUUAGAUAGCCUGGCACUCAAAGAGGAAAAAUGGUUACGAGGUUAUAUUGAGAUUAUAAGGUUGUAUCCGACUUAAUUUUAGCAGAUACGCUGAUUCCUACUCCCUCCAUUUUCUUUAGUAUAUAAUGCCGUUGAUUUUUAGACAUAUAUUUGAUCAUUCAUGUUAUUUAGAAAAUAUGCUAACAUCAUUUAUUUUAUUAUUAAAGUUACUUUAAAUACAGUUUAUAUUUUUGCAUAUUAGCAUAUUUGUUUUAAAUAAGACGAAUGGACAUAUAUGUUUAAAAGUAAACAAUACUAUGUAUUUAAAAUGGAGAUAGUAUUAAAGAGUAUGUUCAUGCAAGGUUCAGAUAACCUUGUCUGUGGAUUUAUUACAACCGGGAAAAAACAGCAAUAAUUUCUAUAUUCAUGGAACUGAUUAAAAACUCUCAAUCUAAGGAUAACCAGCUUAAACCUGCAAAUUGAACUGAAAUUUACAAUUAUAAUCUAACCCGAUUUUACGCCAUACACUUCAUAUCCAAUUAAUAUGCCGCUUUACACAUAUACAUACUGAAGCAUAUGUGGUAUACAGUAUACUUCAUAUGUACUAAAAAAACAUUUUCAAAGAAAUAUUCAGGAAUUUAAUUUAUUUAGGAUUAGAAAGGGAAAACAUUAUUAGGUAUUUCAUAUUUGAGACCACUUUAACUCAAGAGGAAAUAUAACAUUUUUAGCACAAUGAAAAUAUGCACGGUUGAAGAAGGACACCCAGCCACCAAACAAAUAAUUCAGUUGUUGUGGGAGUGAAUGAAAUACUUAAAGGGAGGUGUAGGAUCAUCCAACUUCAAUUAUCCUACCUGAAACUAAACAGAAAGUACAUACACAUUAAAUUCUCUUGGAUCCAAAACAGAGCAAAUGAAUACAAAUAAAAUAUCAACUACAACACAGUAAUAUGCGCAAGAUCAGCAAAUAAAAUCAUGAAUUUAGUGAUUAAACAUGCAAAGAGAUGUACAGUGGUUACCAUAGCCUUAAGAGCAAAUAGAAUGGCAAAUUAUACCAAACUUAAUCAGCAAUACAAUAUGAAAUUGACGGAUCAAACAUUGGUGGGUAUACGUUCUAACUUGAUUAAGAUACAAAAUUUAUCUUGGUUUUUGUUAGCACGUUUUUUAAACUGAUAAACGGUACAUUUUAUGCGGAAAUUUUUAUAUGGAAGUUGUUUUUAGAAAUAUCAAAUAAAUAUGUUUUCCAAGUUUGUAAUAAUUAUAACCCAAUUAAUCAUACGCUAACGACUUUCUGGUUUUACAUACCUGCACUUCAUCUUCGUCUUGAACAGACUCAAACACAACUUUGAAAACAAGAAACGAGUUGGCGAAAGAAUACAACAAUGCAC
Molecule: long non-coding RNA, 1610 nt
Filed under: Oryza sativa (Asian cultivated rice)
Lineage: Eukaryota; Viridiplantae; Streptophyta; Magnoliopsida; Poales; Poaceae
Description: long non-coding RNA (OSAT_LNC000488)
Source: RNAcentral